Paramuricea clavata is the source of this 91-nucleotide non-coding RNA. Lineage: Eukaryota; Metazoa; Cnidaria; Anthozoa; Malacalcyonacea; Plexauridae. The record is from the annotation of a GenBank genome assembly.
GCAUGAUUCAAAAUCAGCAAACUCAAUGUUUUUAACAUUAAAAAUGUUUUAAAAUGUUAAAAACAUUAAGUUUGCCGAUCUUGAAUUAUGC